RNAcentral lists this ribosomal RNA (1974 nucleotides) under human gut metagenome. RNAcentral describes it as "bacterial LSU rRNA". It matches the Rfam family "Bacterial large subunit ribosomal RNA", at positions 1 to 1983 of the family's 2925-position model. The record is from RNAcentral.
AAAAGCAAGUCAGGGCGCAUGGUGGAUGCCUUGGCUCACGGAGGCGAUGAAGGACGUGAUAAGCUGCGAUAAGCUCCGGUGAGGUGCAAAUAACCUUUGACCCGGAGAUUUCCGAAUGGGACAACCCAGCAGUCUGAAGGACUGUUAUCUCUGCUAAGCAGAGAGGCAAACCCGGGGAACUGAAACAUCUUAGUACCCGGAGGAAGAGAAAACAACAGUGAUUCCCCCAGUAGUGGCGAGCGACCGGGGACGAGCCCAAACCGGUGAUGUAGCAAUGCACCGCCGGGGUUGUAGGACCACGCCGUAGUAUCUCAAUCGCGAGUGGAACAUCCUGGAAAGAAUGUCCAUAGAGGGUGACAGACCCGUACACGAAGCGAGCGAGAGCUUAGUGGUAUCCUGAGUAACGCGGGACACGAGUAAUCCUGCGCGAAUCCGCCGGGCCCAUCCGGCAAGGCUAAAUACUCCCGUGAGACCGAUAGUGAACCAGUACCGUGAGGGAAAGGUGAAAAGCACCCCGAUGAGGGGAGUGAAAGAGAUCCUGAAACCAUGCGCCUACAAGCGGUCGGAGCAUGUCAAUCAUGUGACGGCGUGCCUUUUGCAUAAUGAACCUACGAGUUGCCGUCACUGGCGAGGUUAAUUGCAAUGAUGCAAGCAGCCGCAGUGAAAGCGAGCCUGAACAGGGCGCAUAGUCAGUGGAGGCAGACGCGAAACCGAGUGAUCUACACUUGUCCAGGAUGAAGUCCCGGUAACACGGGAUGGAGGUCCGCACCGAUAAGCGUUGAAAAGCUUCCGGAUGAGGCGAGUGUAGGAGUGAAAGGCCAAUCAAACUCGGAGAUAGCUCGUACUCCCCGAAAGGCAUUUAGGUGCCGCGUGGGGCGUUCUGCGUGAGAGGUAGAGCGACCGAUAGGAUGCGAGGGCUUCACCGCCUGUCAAGUCCUGACGAACUCCGAAUGCUCACGCACUGGAGCCCUGCAGUAAGGGGACGGGUGCUAAGGUCCGUUCCCGAGAGGAGAAGAAUCCAGACCGCCGUCUAAGGCCCCUGAGUUCCGUCUGAGUUAGUCUAACGAAGUCCCGUUGCUGUGACAGCCAGGAUGUUGGCUUGGAAGCAGCCAUUCAUUCAAAGAGUGCGUAACAGCUCACUGGUCGAGUGAUGGGGCGUGGAUAAUAAUCGGGUAUAAGACGGACGCCGAAGGCGCGGGAUAGUAAUAAUAAAAGUAUCGGUAGGGGAGCAUUCCACCGGCGUUGAAUGGGAGAGGACGACUUUCCCUGGAGCCUGUGGAAAAGCAAAUGUAGGUAUAAGUAACGAUAAGGAGGGUGAGAUUCCCUCCCGCCGUAAGACCAAGGUUUCCCGGGCAAUGUCAAUCAGCCCGGGGUAAGUCGGGUCCUAAGUCUCAGCCGAAUGGCGAGGGCGAUGGCUGACACGGUUAAGAUUCCGUGACUUCCUUUAGGAGCUACGUGGUGACGGAGGCGUGAAACUGCCGCGGGGCGACGGAAAUCCCCGUUGACAGGUGUAGGCGUUGAUUGCUGCAGGCAAAUCCACAGCAAGAGCCGACCCUUAAAGUAUGCCGGUCUCCUCGGAGACGGGCAAUAGCGCAGGUAAUCAUACUCCCGAGAAAAACCGCUACGCUUAAUCCUAUAGGAACCCGUACCGCAAACGGACACACGUGGUCGUGUAGAAUAUACUGAGGCGUUGAGAGAUUCAUGGUUAAGGAACUAGGCAAACUGACCCCGUAACUUCGGGAUAAGGGGUCCUCACUGUAUGGUGAGGCGCAGAGAAUAGGUCCAGGCAACUGUUUAACAAAAACACAGGGCUGUGCAAACUCGUAAGAUGACGUAUACAGCCUGACACCUGCCCGGUGCCGGAAGGUUAAGAGGAGAUGUCACCGCAAGGGAAGCAUUGAAUUGAAGCCCCGGUAAACGGCGGCCGUAACUAUAACGGUCCUAAGGUAGCGAAAUUCCUUGUCGGGUAAGUUC